RNAcentral lists this ribosomal RNA (417 nucleotides) under uncultured bacterium. Its description in RNAcentral is "bacterial SSU rRNA". It matches the Rfam family "Bacterial small subunit ribosomal RNA", at positions 64 to 507 of the family's 1533-position model. The record is from RNAcentral.
GGACGCUUCCGGAGGUUUCGGCCUCCGGGGGAGUGGCGGACGGGUGAGUAGCGCGUGGGAACCUGCCCCUUUGUGGGGGAUAACCGAGGGAAACUUCGGCUAAUACCGCAUGCGCCCCCGCGAAAGCGGGGGGAAAGAUUUAUCGCAGAGGGAGGGGCCCGCGUCGGAUUAGGUAGUUGGUGGGGUAACGGCCUACCAAGCCUUUGAUCCGUAGCUGGUCUGAGAGGAUGAUCAGCCACACUGGGACUGAGACACGGCCCAGACUCCUACGGGAGGCAGCAGUGGGGAAUAUUGGACAAUGGGCGCAAGCCUGAUCCAGCAAUGCCGCGUGAGUGAUGAAGGCCUUAGGGUUGUAAAGCUCUUUCGGCGGGGACGAUGAUGACGGUACCCGCAGAAGAAGCCCCGGCUAACUUCGUG